RNAcentral lists this ribosomal RNA (552 nucleotides) under uncultured bacterium. RNAcentral's name for it is "bacterial SSU rRNA". It matches the Rfam family "Bacterial small subunit ribosomal RNA", at positions 66 to 611 of the family's 1533-position model. The record is from RNAcentral.
GGGGUAACGGAAGUAGCUUGCUACUAGACGACGACCGGCGCACGGGUGAGUAACGCGUAUGUAAUCUGCCUUGUACAGAGGGAUAGCCCAGAGAAAUUUGGAUUAAUACCUCAUAGUAUUACUGGAUCGCAUGAUUUGGUAAUUAAAGCUCCGGCGGUACAAGAUGAACAUGCGUGACAUUAGCUAGUUGGUAAGGUAACGGCUUACCAAGGCUACGAUGUCUAGGGGUUCUGAGAGGAUGAUCCCCCACACUGGUACUGAGACACGGACCAGACUCCUACGGGAGGCAGCAGUGAGGAAUAUUGGUCAAUGGACGCAAGUCUGAACCAGCCAUCCCGCGUGAAGGAUGACUGCCCUAUGGGUUGUAAACUUCUUUUAUAUGCAAAUAAACCUACUUUCGUGAAAGUAGCUGAAGGUAGCAUAUGAAUAAACACCGGCUAACUCCGUGCCAGCAGCCGCGGUAAUACGGAGGGUGUAAGCGUUAUCCGGAUUUAUUGGGUUUAAAGGGUACGUAGGCGGUAAUAUAAGUCAGUGGUGAAAUCCUGCAGCUCA